GAAGUGGGAGGGCACAGGGGAGACUAAAACGGCCAGGGAAGUUGGCCUGGCGGAAGUUCCCAGGGAGAAGGCAGCGCGUUGUACCCGAGAUUCAGGGUCUGGCUCUGCUUCCCAGGCUAGAGUGCAUUUGGCGCGAUCACAGCUCACUGCAGCCUCGACCUCCUGAGCUCAAGCGAACUUCCUGCCUCAGCCUCCUGAGCUUCCUGAGUAACUGCGACUACAGGCACGUGCCACCAUGCCCGGUUAUUUUUGUAUUUUUUGUAGAGAGUGU
RNAcentral lists this long non-coding RNA (271 nucleotides) under Pan troglodytes (chimpanzee). Its description in RNAcentral is "long non-coding RNA NONPTRT001655". The record is from RNAcentral. Lineage: Eukaryota; Metazoa; Chordata; Mammalia; Primates; Hominidae.